GACGAACGCUGGCGGCGUGCUUAACACAUGCAAGUCGAACGCUGAAGCUCAGCUUUUGUUGGGUGGAUGAGUGGCGAACGGGUGAGUAACACGUGAGUAACCUGCCUCCUUCUUUGGGAUAACGCCCGGAAACGGGUGCUAAUACUGGAUAUUCACUGGUCUUCGCAUGGGGGUUGGUGGGAAGGGUUUUUCUGGUGUGGGAUGGGCUCGCGGCCUAUCAGCUUGUUGGUGGGGUGAUGGCCUACCAAGGCUUUGCCGGGUAGCCGGCCUGAGAGGGUGACCGGUAACAUAGGGACGGAGAUACGGCCCAGAGUCGUACGGGAGGCAGCAGUGGGGAAGAUGGCACAAUGGGCGCAAGCGUGAUGCAGCGACGCCGCGUGAGGGAUGGAGGCCUUCGGGUUGUGAACCCCUUUCGCUCAUGGUCAAGCCGCAACAAUGGUUGUGGUGAGGGUAGUGGGUAAAGAAGCGCCGGCUAACUACGUG
This 483-nucleotide ribosomal RNA is filed under the name uncultured bacterium. RNAcentral's name for it is "partial 16S ribosomal RNA". It matches the Rfam family "Bacterial small subunit ribosomal RNA", at positions 28 to 507 of the family's 1533-position model. The record is from RNAcentral.